This 200-nucleotide unclassified non-coding RNA is filed under the name Mycena sp. RNAcentral describes it as "partial internal transcribed spacer 2". The record is from RNAcentral. Lineage: Eukaryota; Fungi; Basidiomycota; Agaricomycetes; Agaricales; Mycenaceae.
UUAAGUUCAGCGGGUAGUCCUACCUGAUUUGAGGUCAAGAUGUUAUUAAAAUUGUCCCAGCAAAGGGACGGUUAUAAGCAGGUUCCCAUAAAUUUGCUUCAAAGUCAAACGGCAUAGAUAAUUAUCACACCAAGUGACGGUCCACAAGAGAUCCCGCUAAUGCUUUUAAGGGGAGCAGACCAUCCACUGAAGGAAGCCAG